Molecule: ribosomal RNA, 236 nt
Filed under: uncultured bacterium
Lineage: Bacteria
Description: partial 16S ribosomal RNA
Rfam family: Bacterial small subunit ribosomal RNA
Source: RNAcentral
UUGUUCGGAAUUACUGGGCGUAAAGGGCUCGUAGGCGGCCAACUAAGUCGGAUGUGAAAUCCCCAGGCUUAACCUGGGAACUGCAUCCGAUACUGGAUGGCUUGAAUCCGGGAGAGGGAUGCGGAAUUCCAGGUGUAGCGGUGAAAUGCGUAGAUAUCUGGAGGAACACCGGUGGCGAAGGCGGCAUCCUGGACCGGCAUUGACGCUGAGGAGCGAAAGCCAGGGGAGCAAACGGG